UACGUAGGGUGCAAGCGUUGUCCGGAAUUAUUGGGCGUAAAGAGCUCGUAGGCGGUCUGUCGCGUCGGCUGUGAAAACCCGAGGCUCAACCUCGGGCCUGCAGUCGAUACGGGCAAACUAGAGUACUGCAGGGGAGACUGGAAUUCCUGGUGUAGCGGUGAAAUGCGUAGAUAUCGAGAGGAACACCUGCGGCGAAGGCGGGUUGCUGGGCGUGA
This 215-nucleotide ribosomal RNA is filed under the name uncultured bacterium. RNAcentral's name for it is "partial 16S ribosomal RNA". It matches the Rfam family "Bacterial small subunit ribosomal RNA", at positions 524 to 739 of the family's 1533-position model. The record is from RNAcentral.